This 148-nucleotide unclassified non-coding RNA is filed under the name uncultured Ascomycota. Its description in RNAcentral is "sequence contains ITS2". Lineage: Eukaryota; Fungi; Ascomycota. The record is from RNAcentral.
CAACCCUCAAGCCCUGCUUGGUGUUGGGGUCCUACAGCAAUGUAGGCCCUGAAAACUAGUGGCGGGCUCGCUAUAACUCCGAGCGUAGUAGUAAUAUCUCGUUUAGGAAGUGUAGCGGGUUCUUGCCGUUAAACCCCCCAUUUUAUAA